CACAAAUGCCACCAAUCAAGCCAUUUCUUUCUCAAGGGGAACUGAGUGAUUUGCAGGGUUUGGGGAAGGUUGCCUGUGCCUAAAGCAUCAUUCCGUCCCACUCUGGACUCAGGAUGGGCAACAGCUCAUCUCUGCUUGGUAAGGUCUACAGCUUCAACUGAGGACUUUAAUCCUGAGGGUAACUCAAGAGCAGGAGCAGGAAACAUCAGCGGCCAUCCUCACUCCUGCAUGUCUGGCCAUUGGUGCUGCCUGUCAGGUGCUGUGCACGGAGCUCGACUAUCCUGAAUCCACCAUGAUUCGACCUCAUGUCAGUCCUUUGGCUGCCAGCCCAGUUCAACUCCAAGCUGAUGACCAGUGUCGACCGCCAGUCAUUCUGAACAUUUGACCAGUUGAGCUUUCAAAUGAUGGCAGUCCUGGCUGACAUUUUGGGUGAACAAUAUGAGAGACUGACUGGUUGAGCCCUUCCCAAAUUUCUGACCCACAACAUUGUGAGAAAAAUAAUCUUAAGCCUCUCAGUUUGGGGACAAUUUGUUACUCAGCAAUAGAAAUGAAAAUAUGAUCUCAGUAGGACCAUGUGACUUGCAGCAACCAGGGUGACAAUGAACGUCCCUGCAGAUACCCGAGGAGGGGACGCAUGAAGGUUCCCUAGGUGCCCUGUAAAUCUACAGCUUCCUGCUUUCCUCUGCCACAAACACAUGACACGCUGUACCUCUACACCUAAUCUUUUGGUUUGGAAAGGAACGGAAGGUGAUAGAAAUCUGAAAGUUGCGACUGAGGUUUACCAUCCUAAACACAUUAUUUCAGGAGACUAACUCCAAGAUGAUUGGCAUGAACUAGAAUUUUUCUCCCCUUUCUUAUAAAGCAAAUGGGACAGCUCAGGAGGAAGAUCGGAGCAGUUAUAUACAAAAAAUUAACACACAAAUGAAGCAACCACGUGGCCUCUGUGUAUAUGGAGAAAAGUGUGAGCAAAUGUGGGGCCCUAAUACAGAAUGUCAGCCAGGAAGACGAGGAAGGCAGACCUCCCUAGAACAGUGGUACAAGACAUUGGUGGUCAUCUUAACAGAUGUGCACUGACUGAUAUCCUUCAGAAUAGGAAGGAAAUGUGAGAUCUUAAGAAGGAAUUCUAGGGGAGGUCUCAGCUUUACCCCCUGUGACUUGCACUUGGUCAGUAUACAACUUAUUCUUCCCACCAGAGUGAUAGAAAGAAAAAAAGAAACUGAGUUCUGUAUGUUGAGAAAUAUCAUCUUGGCCUUUAAAUUAUUUUAAAAUUAUAGCAACAUGAGUCUUCCUGAAA
Molecule: long non-coding RNA, 1294 nt
Filed under: Homo sapiens (human)
Lineage: Eukaryota; Metazoa; Chordata; Mammalia; Primates; Hominidae
Description: HSALNT0270040
Source: RNAcentral